Molecule: non-coding RNA, 274 nt
Filed under: Triticum urartu
Lineage: Eukaryota; Viridiplantae; Streptophyta; Magnoliopsida; Poales; Poaceae
Description: Bacterial large subunit ribosomal RNA
Rfam family: Bacterial large subunit ribosomal RNA
Source: Rfam by way of RNAcentral
UGAUAUGCCCAGGGACGUCAAGGUCGGCCAGCGAGACGAUGGGAGAUAACCUUCAUCGUCGAUAGUCAGCGGGAAACAGCCCGGAUCACCGGCCAAGGCCCCUAAUUAACCGCUUAUGAUAAAAGUGGGGGCUGCAAAGCCAGCCAGAAGGUUUGCCUAGAAGUAGCCACCCUUUAAAGAAUGCAAGAUAGCUCAUUGCUCGAGCGCAUGAGCAUGAAGAUGAACGGGGCUAAGCGUUCUGCCUAAGAUGUGGGAUGUCAAAAUGCAUCGGUAA